RNAcentral lists this ribosomal RNA (492 nucleotides) under uncultured bacterium. RNAcentral describes it as "bacterial SSU rRNA". It matches the Rfam family "Bacterial small subunit ribosomal RNA", at positions 903 to 1397 of the family's 1533-position model. The record is from RNAcentral.
AAAGGAAUAGACGGGGGCCCGCACAAGCAGUGGAGUAUGUGGUUUAAUUCGAUGCAACGCGAAGAACCUUACCAGGGCUUGACAUCCUCUGACGGCCGUAGAGAUACGGAAUUCCCUUCGGGGACAGAGAGACAGGUGGUGCAUGGUUGUCGUCAGCUCGUGUCGUGAGAUGUUAGGUUAAGUCCUGCAACGAGCGCAACCCCUAUCGCCGGUUGCCAUCAUUCAGUUGGGCACUCAGGCGAGACUGCCGUCGACAAGACGGAGGAAGGUGGGGACGAUGUCAAAUCAUCAUGCCCCUUAUGUCCUGGGCUACUCACGUACUACAAUGGCCGUGACAGCGGGCAGCGACGCCGCGAGGCGAAGCGAAUCCCAAAACGCGGUCCCAGUUCGGAUUGCAGGCUGCAACUCGCCUGCAUGAAGCAGGAAUUGCUAGUAAUGGCAGGUCAGCAUACUGCCGUGAAUACGUUCCCGGGCCUUGUACACACCGCCCGU